UACAGAGGUCCCAAGCGUUGUUCGGAUUCAUUGGGCGUAAAGGGUGUGUAGGUGGCGCGCUAAGUCGGGUGUGAAAUUUCGGAGCUUAACUCCGAAACUGCAUUCGAUACUGGCGUGCUUGAGGACUGGAGAGGAGACUGGAAUUCAUGGUGUAGCAGUGAAAUGCGUAGAGAUCAUGAGGAAGACCAGUGGCGAAGGCGGGUCUCUGGACAGUUCCUGACGCUGAGACACGAAGGCCAGGGGAGCAAACGGG
RNAcentral lists this ribosomal RNA (253 nucleotides) under uncultured bacterium. RNAcentral's name for it is "partial 16S ribosomal RNA". It matches the Rfam family "Bacterial small subunit ribosomal RNA", at positions 524 to 776 of the family's 1533-position model. The record is from RNAcentral.